Non-coding RNA from Gossypium raimondii (Peruvian cotton), 959 nucleotides. The record is from Rfam. Lineage: Eukaryota; Viridiplantae; Streptophyta; Magnoliopsida; Malvales; Malvaceae.
UUAAAGUAAAUUUUCUUUCAGACUUGAAUUUGUGGUCCCGAAACCACUGUUCUGAUUUCAUUGAAAACGAGUUAUUACAUAUGGAAACUACCAAGCUGGAGUACAAUAGAGACAAAGGGAAUUUACGGUGAAGCGAUGAAAUGUGUAGGGAUCGAUAAUAACACCAAUGACGAAAGCAUUUUGCUGGGCCGACAUUGACACUGAAAGAAAAAAGUUCGGGAGUGAAUGGGAUUAGAUACCCCUGUAGUCUUAGCUGUAAAUGAUGGAUACUAAGCGCUAUGCGUAUUGACUCGUGAAAUGCUGUAGCUAACGCGUUAAGUAUCCUAACUGGGGAGUACGUUCGCAAGAAUGAAACUCAAAGGAAUUGACAGGGGCCUGCACAAGCGGUGGAGCAUGUAGUUUAAUUCGAUUCAAAUCGAAGAACCUUACCAGGGCUUGACAUGCCACGAAUCCUCUUGAAAGAGAGGGGUGCCUUAAGGAAUACAGACACAGGUGGUGCAUUGUUGUCGCCAGCUUGUGCCGUAAAGUGUUGGGUUAAGUCCCACAAUCCUCGUGUUUAGUUUCCACAGUAAGUUUGAAACCUUGAGCAAACUGUCAGUGAUAAGUCGAAGGAAGAUGAGGAUGACGUCAAGUUAGCAUGCCCCUUAUGCCUUAGGUGACACACGUGCUACAAUGGAUGGGACAAAGGGUCGCAAUCCUGCAAGGAUGAGCUAACUCCAAAAACCCGUUCGCAAUUUGGAUUGCAGGCUACAACUCACCUGCAUGAAGCCGGAAUCGCUAGUAAUCGUCUGUCAGCCAUACGACAGUGAAUUCGUUCCUGGGGCUUGUACACACCGCCUGUCACACUACGGGAACUAGUCAUGCCCAAAGUUGCUACCUUAACCACAAGGAGAAGGAUGCCGAAGGUAAGGCUAAUGACUGGAGUGAAAUCGUAACAAAGUACCCUUAUUAUAUUAUAA